AAUACUUUGUUGUAACAGUUUGAAUGGUAAAAUAAAAUGCAUGGGAUAUUUACCAAUAUCCUCUGGUAUUUAGAAUUCUUGGCUUUUGCUAUAAUACUUAUUGUGUUCUUUUUAUUUAUUUUAUAUUUGGCAAAAAUAAAUUAUUUAGGUUACAAUCUGCGAUACGAUUUGAGAAAAAAAUACAUGGCGGAUGGAACCUGGAUGAGACAGUAAGAAAUGGUUGGCAAGAAAACAGUUGUUACGAUAGAAGAGAUCCCCAGACAAAGAAUUCAGAGAAUCCACGUCCCUGAGCCGAACCAGCGACCUAUCUGUUGCGACCUCGGCUGCAUUUGGUUCUGCCGGAUCAUCGGCGGCAUCACCACCAUCGCCGUCUGCUACUACUGUGCUUACUCCUUCAUCACCGACACUAAGCUCAAGUUUGGCAUAUUUGUACCGUAGAUGUAAGUGAUCUAUAGUAAAUAGUGUAAUCUGACCCAGCUGUUGUUCU
Long non-coding RNA from Ostrinia nubilalis (European corn borer), 487 nucleotides. RefSeq lists it as uncharacterized. The transcript is spliced from 3 exons. The record is from RefSeq and is a predicted model, not a curated record. Lineage: Eukaryota; Metazoa; Arthropoda; Insecta; Lepidoptera; Crambidae.